CGCGUGUGUGUUGUGGAUGGCGGGGCGCGCGGGGGGUUACAGGAACCGUGCUUCCAGCGGCAACACCAUGAAUUAAUAAAAAAUAAAAUCAAAAGCCUAUUUCUGCCUUCUUUCGCCAUUCGGUUUAAAUCAAAUCGCAUCCCCCCAGUGUCUUCUUUUUCUUUUCUUUCCUUUUUUCUCCACAGUGUAUAUUAGGGAAGACAUGCGGGCGUGCUCGCGCGCGUGGCAGUGCAACAAGGAGGGAGAAGCGGGAGCUCGCGCCAGUUCUCAAACAGCCCGCACGCGCUCGAAAUUCCUCCAAGGAACCUCUGCGAGCUUUUCUUUUUUCAUCACGCGCGAGCUAAAAAUAGAAACGGGGUUGGAUCGUGAUCCAGAAAUAGAUAGGGGGCAUCACUCCUAUAAAAGGCACACCAUUCAAGAGUACAGUGAAGAAGCGGAAAGCCGGAGCACAUUUUAUGGUUAAUAAAAAGAAGAAGAAGAAGAAAAGAGGCGUUUUAUUUGGGGGGCCUCUUUUUACGCCACUUUUCGUAUUUUUAAAGGAGGCUCCGCUGCUACAAUGGUUUGUCACAUCACACAUUGGACAAUGAGACACAGCAGCAGUGACCAAAGCACAAUGAGGUCAGAAGGUGGAAGCACGUGAGGGAAUCUGUAAAAGGGAAGUAAAGAGUAAAGUCUUUCAUUUUAUUUAUUUUUUAUUUUUUAUUUUGCAAAAUCAGCUAGUAAUGUUCUCAUGGUGUGAGGAUGUAAUCCUCACCUUCGACACGUACACAGACACACUCGCUGCGUUUAUCUUGCAUGCCCUUCUUUUUCAUUCAUCUUCUUUUGUUCUCUGUCUGUUAUUGUGGAUCAAAACGCAUUACGAUCAUUCCAAGAAGGAAACUGAUUCGGCUUAAGCAAAUUUUCUUUUACUCUUUUUUGUUAAAUACUGGACUAUUUAACAAAGGCACAAGGGGCACAUUUAACGUGUUGACAAUCAAAUAUUCAUAAUGUGUUUAUGACAUGCCAAUACACAGUCCUGUGUAGGGUGCCUGUUUUUUCCAACCCACACUGCCGUGCAUACACAGUCAGAUCUCCACACAUAUGAGUGUUCAGAUUAUUGCACAAUGUUAUGAUGAUUGUAUGAUUGUUCCAUGAUUUUUGGUAAACUUUUUAAAUCUGCCUUAAUCAGGAUCAAAUUCUGAGGUCACACACAGGCUGAAAGAAGCAGGAAGUGACCCCCCACGCCCCCCACCACCAUGCCCUAAACCCCUCUCCCUUAGCUCCAGCAUCUCAUGAAGUCAUGAGCUCCUGGUUUAGAAGAAUAUGUCCAACUCUCCCUAUCAGCACCUCCUCUCCAGGACAUCUCUUAAAUCAUCAUAGCUCCGAAAUAUACACACACUGGUUAGAAGGCAGUCUUUUGUCAUUGUGUGUUGAUGGAGGUUUGGGGAAAGGACAGGGACAAGGUAGAAAUACUUAAAAGGGUCUUUUCAACAGUGAAGGACACUAUACUAAAAAAAAAAAGCCUUUCACAAACCAAAUAAAUAAUUUAAGGAAAACAGAGGGAUUCUGAAAUUUUAUACUGGAAAAUAUACAAAAAUGUAGAUUAAUGAUGUGGUGUAUGUGUGUUCCUCUCUUUUUCUACAGGGCUGUACUGCAUGCGUCAUUGCUGACAUAUGGGACCGCAAAUGAGAAGCUGAUUUGUAGUUUUAAAUGUGUUAAACACGUCUGCGUCAAACUCCACAGGAGAUAUCCCAUGGAAAUAAUGUUUGUAAACGUAUUAAGUGAUGCCAGCUUUUUUGUUUUGCAGUGCUUUUCCUGCUUAGACGUAAAAUCACUGUUAAUUCACGACAGCGGGCAGAAUGAAAUUUUCGUUACGAGUUAAUGUGCGUCUGUGCUGUAGUGCUGGCUUUUCAGACGUAAGAGUGGAUGUCUGCAUGCCUGGAUUCGAGACACUGCCAUUAUGUGCAAACGUGCAGUGAAGAAAACGUGCAAAGUUUCCCACAGCAUCCUGAGAUUUAUAUGAUUACUUUGUUGAGAUUUUGCAUAUACACUGUUAUGCAAAUGUCACUAAAUACUUGAAAGCUACACGCACGUGUUCUGCACCUACGUUUGUGUAUCAGGCAGAAAGUCUUCAGAUAAGCACAACAAGAAUUACAUAGAAACUAUACAAUUUUACAGUUUGCAGAGAAACUCACUUAGCAUGGAGUAAGUUAAAAUAAAAAUAAGAGAAGUGAACUUUUCCAAAAAAUAUGUCAAUAAAUAGAUACACUCCCUUGUAAAGGGUGCCCUAAUAAAUGCAUUCAAAUACGAGUUACCUUGAACAUAUAACAUUUAACUCAGGUGUAGAUUUUCUCCAUGAUAACAGACUUCUGUUUCCCUUAAUGUAACAACAGGUAAGAUAAGACACACAUAGCAUGUGAACAAACUGUAUCCAGUUAUUACUGAGGUGUGUGCGUGUGUGUGUUUUGCUAUACAAUCCUGUUUUCUUCUUCAAGAUUCUUUGCUUUGCUAUGUAAUUCAUUUCUUUUAAAAUUAAUAUUACAUUUCAGCUCAGUCUCUUUCUUUCUUGUUUUCUCUUUCAGGUGUUUAAAAAGUCAAUGAUAUGUAAAACUUAAACAGAUUUCCCAACUGUGAUUUCAUUUUCUCCUUUCCCCUUAAUAUACACCGAAUUUCAAUUUUGUGGUACGUCAUUAACUGUGUGUAUUAUUAUCAUUAUUAUUGUCUUUAAAUAAAGUUAUUUCAAGUCUCUAUGCAACAACAUGGAUGAUUAAUAAAAGCCUUGAAAAAUCCUGCAUCGUGUGUCUUCAUUAAGUUUGCAUGUUUGAUUUGAGGAGAUACGUGUUGUAAAGAAUUAGGUAUUCACACAUCAAUGUGAUUCUUUGCUGUAAAGACGCACAUGGAACUACACAAUAAUAAAAGCCGGUAGAUA
Molecule: long non-coding RNA, 2908 nt
Organism: Astatotilapia calliptera (eastern happy)
Lineage: Eukaryota; Metazoa; Chordata; Actinopteri; Cichliformes; Cichlidae
Source: Ensembl